Molecule: long non-coding RNA, 2913 nt
Filed under: Sus scrofa (pig)
Lineage: Eukaryota; Metazoa; Chordata; Mammalia; Artiodactyla; Suidae
Description: lncRNA (ENSSSCG00040058088.1)
Source: RNAcentral
GAAACUGAUGGUCUUUUAAAUAUUAGGUAAUGACCUCCCUUCUGUCAAUUAUCAGGUUUUUGUUUGGGUGUGUAGUUUUCCAAAAAUUGUGUGCAUAUUCAAAAACAGAAAUAGAAGAGUUCCCUUUGUGGCUCAGCAGAAACGAAUCUGACUAGGAACCAUGAGGUUUCGGGUUCAAUCCCUGGCCUCACUCAGUGGGUUAAGGAUCUGGCGUUGCUGUGAGCUGUGGUGUAGGUCACAGAUGUGGCUCGGAUCUGAUGUGGCUGUGGCAAAUAUAGAAGCUAUUUUAUUUUUAUUUAUUUAUUUACUUUCAGGCCACAGGUGCGACAUGUGGAAGUUCCCAGGCUAAGGGUCAAAUUGGAGAUGCAGCUGCUGGCCUACACCACAGCCAUAGCAAUGCCAGAUCCACGCCACGACUGCAAACUGCACCGUAGCUCAUGGCAAUGCCGGAGCCUUAACCCACUGAGCUCCCUCUAUUGGAGACUGCUAUUAUGUCUUCCCUCUUAUAUCCCAUAAAAAAAGAAUAUUCUUGAUAAAAACGUUUCCUGAGGAAACUAGAGAACAAGCUGUAGAUAACCACAAUGACUGAAGAGACAACAAUAUCACUAGUGGAGGUAAAUUUAUGUUUACUUGCAUAAUUAAGAAUAAACAGUAGUUCUAAUGGAAAGUAGUAUAUGCUAGCUAUGUACUUUGAUUAAUAUAUAGGGUAGCCAUAAAGUCUGGAAAAAGAUACUACUACUUUAGUGUGUAUUGAAAUAUAAUAUCACCAAACUAUUAAUGUGUAUUCAUUUAUGUUUCCAGAUUUCGUGGCAACUUGGUAAAUAUAGUAAAACUAACAACGAGGAGAGAUUAGGUAAGUGAGGUAGACGAGUAGGUGAGAAGCAGGAAAGCUCUGAUUGGAGUUCCCGUCUUGGCGCAGAGGAAGCAAAUCCAACUAGGAACCAUGAGGUUGUGGGUUUGAUCCCUGGCCUCGCUCAGUGGGUUAAGGAUCCAGCAUUGCUGUGAGCUGUGGUGCAGAUCACAGACAUGGCUUGGAUCUGGCGUUGCUGAGCUCUGAUUAGACCCCUAGGCUGGGAACCUCCAUAUGCUGCGGGUGCGUCCCUAAAAGGACAAAAACACCAAAAAUAAUAAUUAUAAAGAAAAGCCCUGAUUGUCAUAUGCAAAUUUUAACUAGAAAUAAAAGGAUUUGCCUCAAGUUUGGUACUAGGGGAAAUGGGAAGGAGACUAAGAGAUUCUUAGAUAGAUUCAUUAUUGCUCUAUAGUAGGAAAAACUUCAGUCCUCCUGGGUUUCUCCUUUACUUUCACACUACUAUCACAAUAACAACACUUCUGACACCUAGGUGGGGGUUUUCCCCAUACCAAAUGAUUCCAUGACACCAGCUGGGUGUCCUGCAAUUUAACCCAAUUCCGAUGCUAUCUACCUAGAGAUACAGGUUAAGGGGUCAGUCCCACAAGACUGCCUGCCCCUGUGCCCUUCAAGGCCAAUCACAAGUACAGGUUGUUACAUGUGCUUCUGACCAAUCAGCUACAAGUCAGAGGUUUCUGUGACUCCCCCUUAAGUUAAAUUACUUUGCUAGAAUGACUUGCAGAACUCGAGAAAAUAGUUUACUUACUGUUCACCAGCUUUUAAUAAAAAGACAUGAUAGGAGUUCCCAUCGUGGGGCAGUGGUUAACGAAUCCGACUAGGACCCAUGAGGUUGCGGGUUCGGUCCCUGUCCUUCCUCAGUGGGUUAACGAUCCGGCGUUGCCGUGAGCUGUGGUGUAGGCUGCAGACNNNNNNNNNNNNNNNNNNNNNNNNNNNNNNNNNNNNNNNNNNNNNNNNNNNNNNNNNNNNNNNNNNNNNNNNNNNNNNNNNNNNNNNNNNNNNNNNNNNNNNNNNNNNNNNNNNNNAAAAAAAAAAAAAAAAAAAAAGACAUGAUAAAAGAUACUGAUCAACAUCUGGAUGAAAGAGAUGCUCAGGGAAGGUUGUGGGAAGGGGGUGUGGAGCCUCCCACAUCCUCUCUGGAAAUGCUCCAGACCCUGUCCACUGGGGAUUCUUAUGGAGGCUUCAUUACAUAGGCCUGAUCAAUCACUAAUUCCACUUCCAGCACCUCUCCUCUCUCCAGAGAAUGGGGGAUGGGGAUGAAUUCCAGGCUUCUGAUGCUGGCUUGGUCUUGCUGGAGACCAGCUCCCAUCUAGGAGCCCAUCAAAAAUCACCUCAUUAGAACAAAAGUUGCCCCUAUUACUCAGGAAAUUGCAAGAGAUUUAGGAGCACUGUGUCAGAAACCAGGGUCAAAGAACAAAUAUUAGCUCAAAAUAUGCUCCAGUACUCUUGUCACUUAGGUAUUUACAAAGGUUUCAGGAGCUCUGUUCCAGGGACCAGGAGCAGAGACCAAUAUAUAUAUUUUCUGUUAUCUCACAUGCUCACAUAGACAACAAUGAAAAAGAGAACUUAUAUAUUGUGAGAAAGUAUUUCUUUUCUUUUUUUUUUUUUUUUGUCUUUUUAGGGCCAAACCUGUGGCAUAUGGAGGUUCUUAGGCUAGAGUUCCAGUAGAGCUGAGGCACUGGCCUACACCACAGCCACAGCAACGUGGGAUCCGAGCCGCAUCUUUGACCCACACCACAGCCCACGGCAACGCCAGAUCCUUAACCCACCGAGCAAGGCAAGGGAUCGAACCCAUGUCCUCAUGGAUGCCAGUCACGUUCCUUAACUGCUGAGCCAUGAUGCGAACUCCUGUAUGAAAGUAUUUGGAUAUGAGUUCCUGCUGUGGCACAACAGGAUUGGUGGCAUUUGGGGAGCUCUGGGAUGCAGAUUUGAUCUCCAGCCUGGCACAGUGAGUUAAGGAUCCUGCCACUUGGCUCAAGACCGUGGCUCGGAUCUGAACCCUGGCUUGAGAAAACCAUAUACCUUGGGGUGGCCACAAAAGACAACAA